GAUGAACGCUGGCGGCGUGCCUAAUACAUGCAAGUCGAGCGAACAGACGAGGAGCUUGCUCCUCUGACGUUAGCGGCGGACGGGUGAGUAACACGUGGAUAACCUACCUAUAAGACUGGGAUAACUUCGGGAAACCGGAGCUAAUACCGGAUAAUAUAUUGAACCGCAUGGUUCAAUAGUGAAAGACGGUUUUGCUGUCACUUAUAGAUGGAUCCGCGCCGCAUUAGCUAGUUGGUAAGGUAACGGCUUACCAAGGCAACGAUGCGUAGCCGACCUGAGAGGGGGAUCGGCAACACUGGAACUGAGACAGGGUCCAGACUCCUACGGGAGGCAGCAGUAGGCAAUCUUCGGCAGUGGGCGAAAGCUUGACGGAGCAACGCCGCGUGAGUGAUAAAGGUCUCCGGAUCGUAAAACUUUGUUAUUGGGGAAAAACAAAUGUGUAAGUAACUAUGCACGUCUUGACGGUACCUAAUAAGAAAGCCACGGCUAACUACGUG
RNAcentral lists this ribosomal RNA (497 nucleotides) under uncultured bacterium. RNAcentral describes it as "partial 16S ribosomal RNA". It matches the Rfam family "Bacterial small subunit ribosomal RNA", at positions 28 to 507 of the family's 1533-position model. The record is from RNAcentral.